RNAcentral lists this ribosomal RNA (347 nucleotides) under uncultured eukaryote. RNAcentral's name for it is "SSU rRNA". It matches the Rfam family "Eukaryotic small subunit ribosomal RNA", at positions 594 to 945 of the family's 1831-position model. The record is from RNAcentral.
AUAGCGUAUAUUAAAGUUGUUGCAGUUAAAAAGCUCGUAGUUGAAUUUCGGGAUCAAUAUGUUGGUCGUACCAUUGGUACGUACUGGCAUUAUUGAUUCCUACCUUCUGAAGAAUCUUGAUGUCAUUAAUUUGGUGUCUUGGGAAAUCAGGACUGUUACUUUGAAAAAAUUAGAGUGUUUAAAGUAGGCUCGCGCUUGAAUACAUUAGCAUGGAAUAAUGAAAUAGGACGUUUGAUUCUAUUUUGUUGGUUUCUAGGAUCGAUGUAAUGAUUAAUAGGGAUAGUUGGGGGCAUUAGUAUUCAAUUGUCAGAGGUGAAAUUCUUGGAUUUAUUGAAGACUAACUACUG